This 460-nucleotide ribosomal RNA is filed under the name uncultured bacterium. Its description in RNAcentral is "partial 16S ribosomal RNA". It matches the Rfam family "Bacterial small subunit ribosomal RNA", at positions 338 to 795 of the family's 1533-position model. The record is from RNAcentral.
CCUACGGGAGGCAGCAGUGAGGAAUAUUGGUCAAUGGGAGGAAUCCUGAACCAGCCAUGCCGCGUGCAGGACGACGGCUCUACGAGUUGUAAACUGCUUUUGUACCGGGGUAAAAUGCUCUACGAGUAGGGUUUUGAAAGUACGGUACGAAUAAGGAUCGGCUAACUCCGUGCCAGCAGCCGCGGUAAUACGGAGGAUCCGAGCGUUAUCCGGAUUCACUGGGUUUAAAGGGUGCGUAGGUUGUUUUAUAAGUUAGCGGUGAAAUACCGAUGCUCAACAUCGGGGCUGCCGCUGAUACUGUAGGACUAGAGAUCGGAUGCAGCAGGCGGAAUGUGUAGUGUAGCGGUGAAAUGCAUAGAUAUCACGCAGAACCCCGAUUGCGAAGGCAGCCUUCCGGCGCCCUACUGACGCUGAGGCACGAAAGUGCGGGGAUCGAACAGGAUUAGAUACCCUUGUAGUC